Molecule: unclassified non-coding RNA, 363 nt
Filed under: uncultured bacterium
Lineage: Bacteria
Description: contains 16S-23S intergenic spacer region
Source: RNAcentral
UCCCCGUUACCGGGGCAGUCUGAAUAGAAAAAUCCAACUAUUCAUAAGGGUUGCGCUCGUUGAAGGACUUAACCUAACAUCUCACGACACGAGCUGACGACGGCCAUGCAACACCUGUCACUUGGCUCCCGAAGGCACUCUCGGCUUUCACCAAAAUUCCAAGGAUGUCAAGUCUGGGUAAGGUUCUUGGCUUAGCAUCCAAUUAAACAACACGCUCCACCGCUUGUGCGGGUCCCCGUCUAUUCCUUUGAGUUUUAAUCUUGCGACCGUACUCCCCAGGCGGGAUGCUUAACGCGUUAGCUUCGCUACGCAUCGGGUCGAUACGACACACAGCUAGCAUCCAUCGUUUACGGCGUGGACUAC